UGCCAGCCGCCGCGGUAAUACGGAGGGUGCAAGCGUUAUCCGGAUUCACUGGGUUUAAAGGGUGCGUAGGCGGAAAUAUAAGUCAGUGGUGAAAGCCCAGAGCUCAACUCUGGAACUGCCAUUGAUACUGUUUUUCUUGAGUAUGGUUGAAGUGGGCGGAAUAUGACAUGUAGCGGUGAAAUGCUUAGAUAUGUCAUAGAACACCGAUUGCGAAGGCAGCUCACUAAACCAUUACUGACGCUGAGGCACGAAAGCGUGGGUAGCGAACAGGAUUAGAUA
This 279-nucleotide ribosomal RNA is filed under the name uncultured bacterium. RNAcentral's name for it is "partial 16S ribosomal RNA". It matches the Rfam family "Bacterial small subunit ribosomal RNA", at positions 506 to 784 of the family's 1533-position model. The record is from RNAcentral.